Molecule: long non-coding RNA, 965 nt
Organism: Musca domestica (house fly)
Lineage: Eukaryota; Metazoa; Arthropoda; Insecta; Diptera; Muscidae
Exons: 3
Source: RefSeq, a predicted model, not a curated record
UUUGUGUUAAAAUGGAAAAUAUCUAUCAUCUAGUUGACGUUUUUCUACAGUUAAAAUGGCUAAAUAUUUUCUUCGGCAUAUUGGAAAGAAGACAUUUUUGCGAAAUUUUUAGAAGCUUCAUGCUAUCAAAAUUAAGAAAACUCUGCCAUUUUGUCAACUGAUAGUCCUACACUUAACACCUUUGCAACUCAGUGGAUAUUUUUCAUUCGAUUGUGAGCUUGUGAAUUUUCAGUUUUUUCAAUCAUAAUUUAGUGUUAUAAGCUGAUUAUAUUUAAUAUUUAUCUGAAUAUCUUGAGAUUGGUACAUUUCCUGGUGGUUAAAAUAUACAAUUUAUUUCAUCUUGAUGUGAUGUUUAUUUCAUUAUUCCUCAUCCAAUAAAUCGAAAGAUUUCUUGUCAAAAUUUGUCUGGUAUGCAGAGUAAAAUAAAUUGGGACAAAAUAUCACAUUCUUAUGCUUUGCUUUCAAUCGCCGCUGUUGGUUUGCCUAUUGCUCCUGUUUAACGAUCAGUCUGUUGUUCGAUCUAUUGUUUAAAGUGUGUGAACAAGUAAACUGUCCGUCCAGCCGCACACGGGAGAAGAAGCGAGCAAUAAUAGCACAAAAAAAACUGAACAACACCUUGAAAGGAGGAAAGCCACCUGUUGCAGGAUAUUUAUAUUUCAAUAAUCCUCCCGUGUGUACAAAACACUUUAAAUAUUAACUUUUAUAAAAAUUUAUAAAAAAAUGAAGAUUUUAUAAAAGGAAAAAAUCAGUAGCAAAAUAAGCGGUAAGAAUCUAUCAAGUGGAUGAGUUGUUAACAUACCAGUUUUAAAAUUUGUUGUUGUUUUUAAGAAGCAAAAUUCUAAAAGAAACCGAGAAUUCAUGAUGUGGUUAAAGUAAAAUGAUAAGUUAAUUUAUUUAAACUAUUUUUGUUAAAUUUGAGUGUUAUUUCUAUCUUCAUCAGCAUUGCCUAAAAAUAAUUUAUUUAU